Molecule: ribosomal RNA, 253 nt
Filed under: uncultured bacterium
Lineage: Bacteria
Description: partial 16S ribosomal RNA
Rfam family: Bacterial small subunit ribosomal RNA
Source: RNAcentral
UACGUAGGGUGCAAGCGUUAAUCGGAAUUACUGGGCGUAAAGCGUGCGCAGGCGGCUUUGCAAGACAGAUGUGAAAUCCCCGGGCUUAACCUGGGAACUGCAUUUGUGACUGCAAGGCUGGAGUCUGGCAGAGGGGGGUAGAAUUCCACGUGUAGCAGUGAAAUGCGUAGAGAUGUGGAGGAACACCGAUGGCGAAGGCAGCCCCCUGGGUCAAGACUGACGCUCAUGCACGAAAGCGUGGGGAGCAAACAGG